AAAACCCAGAAACCUUUCCCAUCCCUCAUCCUAACAUCCUGCCAAAAUGCACCGAAAGCAUAUAGAGCCCAGCACCGACAUUCACAGUGACCCUCGAAUUCACUGCCCCCCGGGACAAGGGGUGGCAUUAUAUGGGGAACUUCUGAGGAUUGGUAUCAAAUAGGAAAGCUACCCUGCCCGAGCUACAGCGCGGACGUUUCUUCCCCCACCCCAAGACGGUUCGUUGACUAAAAAAAACGUUCAAAGUUACGGGACUUGUACUUGGCCCUAAGGGGUGAAUUGGAAAACCCGGCUGAAACAUUUUAACCGGAUCGAGAGUUCAGUCGGGAUUCCCAUGUUCAGCUCUAUUUGACACUAGUCGUAUGCUGCUGUGAGUCUGAGCCUCAAAACCAUUGCUAGACGUACUGUAUUUCAGUGACUGGACAACCGUAUUCGCAAAGAUUUUUAAAAGAGUGAACAGGAAGACGUUCAAAGUUACAGAAGAAACCGCAAGUGCAGUCUGGUGAAACAGCAUGGAGGAAGAAGCCCAUUGCUCUCUCAUUUACUGUGGGAGGGAGGAAGACAGGUUUUUUAGCAGAACUGGUUAGAUGAAUUCAAGUGGGAGAAGGCUCGUGUGGAGCAUAAACAGCGGCAUAAAUCAGUUGGGCCGAAUGGCCUGUUUCCGCGCUGUUAAAUUCUAUGUAAUUUAAUUCUAUGUAAUUCCAUGUCUACACGUAGGCAACCCAUGCAUACAGUCCUGUUGACUGACCUCUGAUCCGAGUGAUGCCUUCUACCUGGGAGGAGCUAACUAGAAGUUCAAAGAUGGAUAGCCGUAUUUGGCAGAGUUAUAUAUUAAAAUUAGUUAGAAAGUGAAAAAAAAGACUUGCAUGUAAAUAAUGUUUUUUAAGACCUCAAAAGCCCCAAAGCGCUUUACAGCCAAUGAAGUACUUUUUAAAGGUGCAGUCACUGUUGUAGGAAACAUGACAGCCAAUUAUGCACAGCAAGAUCCCACAAACAGCAGGCAGCUAGAGCACAGUGAUCUGAAAAUCAGUGCCUGCAAGGUUAUGUUUGAGCCAGUGUCAGACACACACAAUGCAGCACCAGACAUGAUCAUUGGAUGCCACCAGUCUCAAGGCUGUAGAAAAACUCUCUUGAUUUGGCAGUGUGCUCUCUAGAGAUGCCAUUAUUGAUGAAGAUAUCUGUGCCCACAUCAGAAAGUGAGUUUUGCCUAUAGCCAACACCAUGAUAGGGUCUGAAAGCACCUUGGCAUUAAGCUGAAUACUAAAAUCAAACUCUGCCAGGCAUUUGUCCUUACUACCCUGCUGUAGGGUGCAGAAUCCUGGGUCUGCCAAAGGCAUCAAAGAUCUGGAACACAUCCACCAAAGACAUCUGUGGUCCAUCAUGAGAAUUCGAUGACAGGACAAAAUCACAAUGAGGUUCUUCAUGGUGCUGGGCUCAACAGCAUGGAGAUCACUCUCCAGAAUAUCGAUCUUAGAUAGGCAAGUCAUGUCUCCUGCCUGGAUGACUAUAGAAGCCCCAAGCAGAUCUUCUAUGGGGAACUGUCUCAGGGAACAUGACAUCAAGGUGGUCAGUACAAAUGACACAAGUACAUGCUUAAAAGGAGCCUUACAAACGUCUACAUUGCAGACAACCUCUCUUGGGAAAACACUACAGCCGACUGGCCCAUGAGCAGACAAGCACUGAAAUUUGGUUCAGUAUGUUUUGAGGGCUAGCUAUGUCAAACUUGCAACAUCCGAUGUGCCCGGAGGAAGGCAGGGGGUGGUGCAGCUGCAAAAGUUCCCCCAAACAUCAGCAAUGACAAUUUGAACUACCAUUCCUGUGAAUGUCCAUAACAAUUCCACAUCAGACUCUUCAGCUACGAGAGAAGCCACAAGAGAUGACGAAAUUGCUCACAGCUUCAAUGUCCUUGCACCACGAGGAGUCUACCAUUGCCAUGGAAACUCUUGCAUCCACCUGAGAAGGCAGAUAUAGCCUCACCUGAAAGACACCACCUCUGACAGUACAGCACUCCCUGAGUAAUGCACUGAAGUGUCAGCAUAGAUUUUGUUCUCAGGCAUUUGAAGUUGGACUUGAACCUGCAACCUGCUUAGAGCCACCAAAGCAAAUUGUAUUGGUACAACUCUAACUUAUGUUGAUACCAGUUCAAACUUAGCAUCUUCAUAACUAGCUGUUGGGACUGUUGCCAAAAGUGCAGCAUAACAGAAUUAAUAGUUAUGGUAAGUUGAAUAAAUUUUCACAAAAGUGCAUUAUUUAAUUAGGGAAUGAAACAAACUGUAGAGUGUGUUGUAGCUGUAGAACAGGUUUGCACCUACAACGUCCCAUAUCAUCUGAGUUUCUGACAUUAGCCAUGUUGUUGUGAGAUAGCACUAAGAGAGGACAUGUGCUUCUACAAUGGGGGGGGGAGGGGUGGGGGGGAGAGCCAAAACAUUAGAGAAAGUAGCAACUGCUGAUAAUUAGCUUAAACAAGGUUUCCUGGGUAAGGCAGCACUAAUGUUGGCCAAGAGCAGCUCAUCCACUGGUCCAGUGUUUUAGCCAUAUUGAAUGAGGGAAAUAUAGAAAGAAAGAACUAGCAUUUAGAUAGUACCUUUCAUAGCUUCAGGGCACCUCAAAGCACUUUUUGGCCAAUGAAGUACUUGUUGAAGUGUAGUCACUGUUGUAAUAUAGGAAAUGCAGCAGUCAAUUUGUGCUUAGUAAAGUGCCACAAAAAAGAAUGAGACAAUGACCAGAUAAUUUGUUUUUGGGGUUUUGGUUGAGGGAUAAAUGUUGGCCAAAUAGUUUCAUGAAAUCUUUUACAAACACUUGAAAGAGCAGAUGGGCCCUUGGUUUAACAUCUCAUCCAAAAGGCAGUGGCUGUGGUAUUGGAGCACUCCCUCAGUCCUGAAAUGGCAGCUGAGAAUAUAGGCUCAAGUGUCUGGUGUGGGACUUGAACCUCCGACCUCCUAAUUUAAAGAUGUCAAUUAUCACUUAACCAAGACUGACAAUUAAUAUUAAUAUCUAUGGUUCUGACCAGAUCGAUCUGUUCAAUGUAAAUAUUACUUGUUAAAUUUGACUUACCAAAAGAUAAAAAAGUAAAUCCUAUAAUUCUGGAAGUCCCACAUAUAAAAUGUCUCUAGUGUGAAAAAAGUGAAAACAUUGAAUUUAAGAAAGAAGUACAUGUACAUUGUCGUUCAUUAAAACAUGCGAUAGAAUGAUAAAACAAUUUUAAAAAAGACAA
This is a long non-coding RNA of Carcharodon carcharias (great white shark), 3214 nucleotides long. RefSeq lists it as uncharacterized. Lineage: Eukaryota; Metazoa; Chordata; Chondrichthyes; Lamniformes; Lamnidae. The transcript has 2 exons. The record is from RefSeq and is a predicted model, not a curated record.